UAAAACACAUUGGGUGAAACAACA
Molecule: non-coding RNA, 24 nt
Filed under: Arabidopsis thaliana (thale cress)
Lineage: Eukaryota; Viridiplantae; Streptophyta; Magnoliopsida; Brassicales; Brassicaceae
Source: RNAcentral